RNAcentral lists this ribosomal RNA (494 nucleotides) under uncultured bacterium. Its description in RNAcentral is "partial 16S ribosomal RNA". It matches the Rfam family "Bacterial small subunit ribosomal RNA", at positions 28 to 507 of the family's 1533-position model. The record is from RNAcentral.
GACGAACGCUGGCGGCGUGCUUAACACAUGCAAGUCGAACGGUGAAGCGCCUUCCUUUUUGGUGGGUGUGGAUGAGUGGCGAACGGGUGAGUAACACGUGAGUAACCUGCCCCCUUCUUCUGGAUAACCGCAUGAAAGUGUGGCUAAUACGGGAUAUUCUGGGUCUGUCGCAUGAUGGGUCUGGGAAAGAUAUUGUUUCGGUGGGGGAUGGGCUCGCGGCCUAUCAGCUUGUUGGUGGGGUGAUGGCCUACCAAGGCGGUGACGGGUAGCCGGCCUGAGAGGGUGGACGGUCACACUGGGAAUGAGACACGGCCAAGACUACGACGGGAGGCAGCAGUGGGGAAUAUUGAACAAUGGGAGCAAGCCUGCUGCAGCGACGCCGCGGGAGGGAUGGAGGCCUUCGGGUUGUGAACCUCUUUCGCCAGUGAAGCAGGCCUGCCUCGUUUGUGGGUGGGUUGACGGUAGCUGGAUAAGAAGCGCCGGCUAACUACGUG